Acanthaster planci (crown-of-thorns starfish) is the source of this 224-nucleotide long non-coding RNA. RefSeq lists it as uncharacterized. The record is from RefSeq and is a predicted model, not a curated record. NCBI's taxonomy places the organism in Eukaryota, Metazoa, Echinodermata, Asteroidea, Valvatida, Acanthasteridae.
AUUACAGAAGUCACUACCACCACUAUUCCAGAAACAACUAAAGGUCCUCCUGCAGGCUCUGAUAUCAAAACAACAACAAGACAGAGGCGCACUCGUCCUCCCAGUGGCUCUGAUGUUGUAACAACAACACAACCUUCUCGUUCUCGAAUCACUACCACUACUCCUACAACGACAACUCAAGUGGUGACCACAACCACUCAGACCUCAACACCGACAACGGCAGG